AGUGAACGCUGGCGGUAGGCCUAACACAUGCCAGUCGAACGGCAGCACAGUAAUAGCUUGUUGUUACGGGUGGCGAGUGGCGGACGGGUGCGGAAUACAUCGGAAUCUACUUUUUCGUGCGGGCUAACGCGGGCACACUUACGCCAUUAGCCCAUACGACCUACGGGUGAAAGCAUCGGACCUUCCGCUCUUACACGAUUGUAUGUGCCGAUGUCGGAUUAGCUAGUUGGCGGGGUAAAGGCCCACCAAGGCGACGAUCCGUAGCUGGUCUGAGAGGAUGAUCAGCCACACUGGAACUGAGACACGGUCCAGACUCCUACGGGAGGCAGCAGUGGGGAAUAUUGGACAAUGGGCGCAAGCCUGAUCCAGCCAUGCCGCGUGGGUGAAGAAGGCCUUCGGAUUGUAAAGCCCUUUUGGUGGGAAAGAAAAGCAGUAGGUUAAUACCCCGCUGUUCUGACGGUACCCAAAGAAUAAGCACCGGCUAACUUCGUG
This 492-nucleotide ribosomal RNA is filed under the name uncultured bacterium. RNAcentral describes it as "partial 16S ribosomal RNA". It matches the Rfam family "Bacterial small subunit ribosomal RNA", at positions 29 to 507 of the family's 1533-position model. The record is from RNAcentral.